This 3095-nucleotide ribosomal RNA is filed under the name Desulfovibrionaceae bacterium. RNAcentral describes it as "23S ribosomal RNA". It matches the Rfam family "Bacterial large subunit ribosomal RNA". The record is from RNAcentral. Lineage: Bacteria; Pseudomonadati; Thermodesulfobacteriota; Desulfovibrionia; Desulfovibrionales; Desulfovibrionaceae.
AGUUAAGUUAUUAAGGGCAAUCGGUGGAUGCCUUGGCGUCAAGAGGCGAUGAAGGACGUGGUAGGCUGCGAUAAGCCUCGGCGAGCCGCCAAACAGGCUUUGACCCGGGGAUUUCCGAAUGGGGCAACCCGGCGGGAGUUAUGUCCCGUCAUCCCGGUUAUGAAUACAUAGUUUCCGGGAAGCGAACCGGGGGAAGUGAAACAUCUCAGUACCCCGAGGAAUAGAAAUCAAACGAGAUUCCCAAAGUAGCGGCGAGCGAAAUGGGAAAAGCCCAAACCGUCGGUUUUCGAACCGGCGGGGUUGUGGGACCGGUUAUAGCGAUCCGUAAUUAGGCAGUGGAAGCGUUUGGGAAAGCGCGCCAUAGAGGGUGAAAGCCCCGUACAUGAAACCGAAAGCGGCGUGACCGGCACCCGAGUACCGCGGGACACGAGAAAUCCCGUGGGAAUCUGGGAGGACCAUCUUCCAAGGCUAAAUACUCCUUGACGACCGAUAGUGCACCAGUACCGUGAGGGAAAGGUGAAAAGAACCCCUGUUAGGGGAGUGCAAUAGAACCUGAAACCGAUUGCCUACAAGCGGUGGGAGCCUUGCACCCGCCAAAGCCGCGAUGUCCGUUUUAGCCCGAGUUCCCUGGUAUAGCCAUGGGAGUCCGGGCGUAGUCAUUUCCCGAACCCCUUGUCGAGGGGGUCCGGGGGGGAUCAUCCCCCCCGGCGGGGUCCGGGGCGGAGCCCCGGUUGGGCUACAGUUGCAUCGUGUUUUUGGUGGGUGUGGGGUGACCGCGUGCCUUUUGCAUAAUGAGCCAGCGAGUUAAUCUGUCGUGCGAGGUUAAGCGUAAAGCGGAGCCGCAGCGAAAGCGAGUCUGAAUAGGGCGACUAGUACGGCGGAUUAGACCCGAAACCGGGUGAUCUAUCCAUGAGCAGAAUGAAGCUCGGGUAAAACCGAGUGGAGGUUCGAACCAUUGUGGGCUGAAAACCACUUGGAUGACUUGUGGAUAGGGGUGAAAGGCCAAUCAAACUCGGUGAUAGCUGGUUCUCCCCGAAAUAUAUUGAGGUAUAGCCUCGGACUCAGACCAACGGAGGUAGAGCACUGAAAGGGCUAGGGGCCCCACCAGGUUACCAAACCCUAUCAAACUCCGAAUGCCGUUGGUUUUGUCCGGGAGUCAGACUCUGGGUGCGAAGGUCCAGGGUCGAGAGGGAAACAGCCCAGAUCGUCGGCUAAGGUUCCCAAGUCCAUGCUCAGUGUGAAAGGAAGUGGGGCCGCAUAGACACCCAGGAGGUUGGCUUAGAAGCAGCCAUCCUUUAAAGAAAGCGUAAUAGCUCACUGGUCUAGCGGCCCCGCGCCGAAAAUGUAACGGAGCUAAGCAUGGCGCCGAAGCCACGGGAUCAUCUUCGGAUGAUCGGUAGGGGAGCGUUCCCGGAUGGGAUGAAGGUGGAUUGUAAAGUCCGCUGGACUAACGGGAAGUGAUAAUGCUGGCAUAAGUAACGAUAAAGCAAGUGAGAAACUUGCUCGCCGUAAGCCCAAGGUUUCCUGGGUAAAGUUAAUCUUCCCAGGGUGAGUCGGUCCCUAAGGCGAGGCCGAAAGGCGUAGUCGAUGGAAAACGGGUUAAUAUUCCCGUACCCGUGCGUGUGUGCGAUGGGGGGACGCGGUGGGAUAGGUCAUCCGGCUGUUGGAAUAGCCGGUGCAAGCGUGUAGGCUUUGGGGGUAGGCAAAUCCGCCUCCAUUUAAGGCCGAGACGUGAUGCCGUGCGGUUUAUCCGCGUAAGUGACUCAUUCCGGACCGCCGAGAAAAGCCUCUAAGUUUAGCACGUUCGGACCGUACCGCAAACCGACACAGGUGGGCGGGGAGAAUAUCCCAAGGCGCUUGAGAGAACUCUGGUUAAGGAACUCGGCAAAAUAGCCCCGUAACUUCGGGAUAAGGGGCGCUCCUUCACGUGAAGAACUUGCUUCGUAAGCGUUUGGGAGCCGCAGAGAAAUGGUGGUGGCGACUGUUUACUAAAAACACAGGUCUGUGCGAAGUCGUAAGACGACGUAUACGGACUGACGCCUGCCCGGUGCCGGAAGGUUAAGGGGUGGGGUUAGCGCAAGCGAAGCCCUAAACCGAAGCCCCGGUAAACGGCGGCCGUAACUAUAACGGUCCUAAGGUAGCGAAAUUCCUUGUCGGGUAAGUUCCGACCUGCACGAAUGGCGUAACGAUCUCCACGCUGUCUCAACCAGAGACUCAGUGAAAUUGAAUUGGCGGUGAAAAUGCCGUCUACCCGCGGAAAGACGGAAAGACCCUGUGCACCUUUACUAUAGCUUGACAUUGAAUCUUGGACUGGCAUGUGUAGGAUAGGUGGGAGGCUGUGAAGCCGGCGCGCCAGCGUUGGCGGAGCCAUCCUUGAAAUACCACCCUUGUCUGUUUAAGGUUCUAACCCCAUGCCGUUAUCCGGCUGGGGGACAUUGUCUGGUGGGUAGUUUGACUGGGGCGGUCGCCUCCCAAAAAGUAACGGAGGCAUGCAAAGGUUCCCUCAGGCUGAUUGGAAACCAGCCGUUGAGCGCAAAGGCAUAAGGGAGCUUGACUGCGAGAGAGACAUCUCGACCAGGUACGAAAGUAGGCCUUAGUGAUCCGGUGGUCCCGCAUGGAAGGGCCAUCGCUCAUUGGAUAAAAGGUACGCCGGGGAUAACAGGCUGAUCGCAUCCAAGAGUUCACAUCGACGAUGCGGUUUGGCACCUCGAUGUCGGCUCAUCACAUCCUGGGGCUGGAGCAGGUCCCAAGGGUUCGGCUGUUCGCCGAUUAAAGUGGUACGCGAGCUGGGUUUAAAACGUCGUGAGACAGUUUGGUCCCUAUCUUCCGUGGGCGCAGGAGGUUUGAGAGGGUUUGCCCCUAGUACGAGAGGACCGGGGUGAACGAACCUCUGGUGUGCCGGUUGUCGCGCCAGCGGCAUCGCCGGGUAGCCACGUUCGGAAAGGAUAACCGCUGAAAGCAUCUAAGCGGGAAGCCUGCCUCAAGAUGAGACCUCCCUGAAGGACCCAGGUAGACUACCUGGUUGAUAGGCCGGAGGUGUAAGUGCAGCAAUGUACUCAGCUUACCGGUACUAAUAGUCCGUUCGGCUUAACUUU